Molecule: ribosomal RNA, 433 nt
Filed under: uncultured bacterium
Lineage: Bacteria
Description: partial 16S ribosomal RNA
Rfam family: Bacterial small subunit ribosomal RNA
Source: RNAcentral
AACGAACGCUGGCGGCAUGCCUAACACAUGCAAGUCGAACGAGACCUUCGGGUCUAGUGGCGCACGGGUGCGUAACGCGUGGGAACCUGCCCUUAGGUUCGGAAUAACUCCCCGAAAGGGGUGCUAAUACCGGAUAAUGUCUUCGGACCAAAGAUUUAUCGCCUUUGGAUGGGCCCGCGUUGGAUUAGCUAGUGGGUAGGGUAAAAGCCUACCAAGGCGACAAUCCAUAGCUGGUCUGAGAGGAUGAUCAGCCACACUGGGACUGAGACACGGCCCAGACUCCUACGCGAGGCAGGAGUGGGGAAUAUUGGACAAUGGGCGAAAGCCUGAUCCAGCAAGGCCGCGUGAGUGAUGAAGGCCUUAGGGUAGUAAAGCUCUUUUACCCGGGAUGAUAAUGACAGUACCGGGAGAAUAAGCUCCGGCUAACUCCGUG